Molecule: long non-coding RNA, 453 nt
Organism: Daphnia magna
Lineage: Eukaryota; Metazoa; Arthropoda; Branchiopoda; Diplostraca; Daphniidae
Exons: 3
Source: RefSeq, a predicted model, not a curated record
CUACUUCCGGAGUAUAAAAGCUCAGAGAUUCACGAUGAAAAAGUAUCAGUUGUUCAAUCCAAUCAACCGAGUCCAACAUGAAACUGUUUGUUGUCGCUGCCCUCUUGGUCGUUGCUGCUUCCGCAGCUCCAUUUGACUACGCUUCUCCCGCAGCUCCAUUCGACUACGUUCCUCCUCUUACACCGCGCCCCUAAUCACCAUCACGCCCGAUGGCAGCAUCAGGUGGAAUUACACUGAAUCGAAUUAUACUGCCCUUGAAGAAUCCCAGAACCAGAAGUACCAGGCCACCAGUUCCGACUCUUACGGAAGUAACACCAACCGAGGAUCUUAUUUCUCGAUCUCUCCCGAAGGUGAGAAAAUCAUGCUGCCCUGGACUGCCGACAAAAAUGGAUUCCAGGCCAGCGGUUAACACUUGCCCGUUGCUCCCGUCCACGUCUACGAACUCCCAGUUGC